RNAcentral lists this long non-coding RNA (1208 nucleotides) under Homo sapiens (human). RNAcentral describes it as "non-protein coding LINC01880:21". The record is from RNAcentral. Lineage: Eukaryota; Metazoa; Chordata; Mammalia; Primates; Hominidae.
GAUGUGUUUUUUGCUUGUCUGAGUAAGCCGACUAGGAUUCCUGGCACCAUCGUGAACGGCUCUGGUGGGCACAGGCAGCCCUCUGCUGCUUCUGAUCUUAGAGAAAUGAAAAUAAAGUCAGCCUCCAUAAAAUUAUGAAGAAGAAAGGCAGUAUCAUAAUGAUUAUGCAGGAACCAAGGACUGGCCUGGAAGAUGGGCCCCCAAGCUCACAGGGACACCAGCAGGCACUGCUUCUAGACAUGGAGCCUCAGUUCCAGAAUGUCCCGUGACAUGACCAGGAGUAGGGAACCAGCCCUCCCGACCUCCAUGUCUUAUUUGCCAGGCAGGGGUAACUGCAGGCUGGCCCUGACCAGGAUGACCACUGGCUCCCACUGUGGAUGCAUUUCGUGCGUGGCCUGCAUUGGACAUCGGCUCACCCAUGUGCUGGGGUGUCCAGGGUCCAGGGGAAGCUCCAGGACACAUUUGAGGAUCAGGAGAGCAACCUGCAUAGUGCAGGACUCUUGUCAGGGAGACCACGACCCGGGAGCCUUUCCUAGAAGACACAGAGUCCCCAAAAAUACCUGUGACAAGGGUCUCAUCACAGCACUGUCUGAGAGUGCUUGGAGAGAGGGAACCUGCCUGCAGCUGUUCCCAGAGCAGUGGGGCGGGGGACACUCCCCUACUGAAGAAGGCAUUUCCUUUUGGCGCCUCCAGUUCCCCCUGCCAGGACGUCAGCACCCAGGCUCUGAUGUGGGCUGCUGGGGGCCACGGCACUGCAAUGCUGCCCUGGAUUGAAUGGGGCGGGGGCUAUAGAUGUAUAAUACAAGUUGGAUUUUAGAGACUUGGUAUGUGGCAUAGAGUCUCAAAUGUCCAAAGAUGUGUCGCAUUGAUUUCAGGGUGAGUGGAUAGUUGUUCUGAUAUACUGAGUUCAGUAAAAUACAUCGGCAGCAGGAAUUUUACCGGUUACUGUUUCGUUUUUGUAAAUAUGGCUACCACAAAAUAUAAGGGCACGCAGGUUCACGCCCUCACCCAGCACUGGCCUCCCCUUCCCAGACAAUCAGCCACAUCUUCGCCUGCCAGCAUGGCCCCUUGUUCUCAGGGCUCCUGCCCUCAUGCUCCUGUGUCCUCCAGUCCCCCUGCCCUCUAGGAAGCCUCGUGGCUGAUGGGGCUUUGCUCAACCUGGUCUCGCGCUCACCUCCACCUUUGGCUCUAAGGCUUGUCAUCCCUAA